Molecule: long non-coding RNA, 437 nt
Organism: Hyla sarda
Lineage: Eukaryota; Metazoa; Chordata; Amphibia; Anura; Hylidae
Exons: 3
Source: RefSeq, a predicted model, not a curated record
GGCAACUUUUCCUCCAGACAGGUUUUCAUAAAUCUCCCCCAAUAUUAUUAAUAGCAUGGACCUUUAAGCAAUGAGCAGUUUUGGCGGCUGUGUGGAAUGUAAUAAGCCAUGUCUUCUAGCCUUACUGUCUGAUGGAGGUUACUACAUGGUAACUGAUACACCAAGUGUCCAAUGAUCAGGUACCCCACACAUGCCAUGCAAACACCAACACACCUGCGUCGCUUGAGCAGAAACACCAAUUACAGGACACAAGGUACAACUGGCAGCACUAGUCUAUUGCAAAGGGCUUUCUCUACCAUGGUGACUGGAGCAGAUAAAUCCUGAACCUAAUCUCAGCUGAAAUAGGAUUCCGAGAGCCCAGGAGACUGAAACCCAUAGUAACAUCUUCGUGUACUCACUUAGGACAGACAACUUAAGUCUAAAGAUUAAAGACAUUA